Long non-coding RNA from Austrofundulus limnaeus, 286 nucleotides. RefSeq lists it as uncharacterized. Lineage: Eukaryota; Metazoa; Chordata; Actinopteri; Cyprinodontiformes; Rivulidae. The record is from RefSeq and is a predicted model, not a curated record. The transcript has 4 exons.
GUGGAGUGUCAGCACACUGCCACAUGGACUGCAGCAGGAUUCCAGCAGUUGCGGAGUCUUGAUUUUGAAGUUUGCAGAAAGCUACUUGCAGAUGGGAAGUCUGCUGUCAGUCAACACCGGACCUGCUGAAAUUUUCCAGGCCAGACUAGACAUCGCUACCACGCUGCUGCCAUACCAAGAUAAGGUGGAAGACUUUUGUGUGUUCUGCAACAUGCUGCACUAUGACGCUAACCAGGAUGUCAUCAAUAUGAUACAAUGUGACUUCUGUUCAAGAUGGACUCAUGAA